ACCUUUGGGUGAACAGGGAGACAGGUGGUGCAUGGUUGUCGUCAGCUCGUGUCGUGAGAUGUUGGGUUAAGUCCCGCAACGAGCGCAACCCCUACGUUUAGUUGCCAUCGGGUGGAGCCGGGCACUCUGGACGAACUGCCGUUGACAAAACGGAGGAAGUGGGGAUGACGUCAAAUCAUCAUGCCCCUUAUGUCCUGGGCCACACACGUGCUACAAUGGCCGGUACAGAGGGAAGCGAAGCCGUGAGGUGGAGCAAAUCCCAAAAAGCCGGUCUCAGUUCGGAUUGCAGGCUGCAACCCGCCUGCAUGAAGUCGGAAUCGCUAGUAAUCGCAGGUCAGCAUACUGCGGUGAAUACGUUCCCGGGCCUU
RNAcentral lists this ribosomal RNA (368 nucleotides) under uncultured Pelotomaculum sp. RNAcentral describes it as "bacterial SSU rRNA". It matches the Rfam family "Bacterial small subunit ribosomal RNA", at positions 1016 to 1382 of the family's 1533-position model. The record is from RNAcentral. Lineage: Bacteria; Bacillati; Bacillota; Clostridia; Eubacteriales; Desulfotomaculaceae.